AAGCCAUGCGAGUCAUUGUAGUAAUACAAGGCAUACGGCUCAGUAACGCGUAGUCAACCUAACCUAUGGACGGGAAUAACCUCGGGAAACUGAGUAUAAUGCCCGAUAGAACAUUAUGCCUGGAAUGGUUUAUGUUCCAAAUGAUUUAUCGCCGUAGGAUGGGACUGCGGCCUAUCAGUUUGUUGGUGAGGUAAUGGCCCACCAAGACUAUUACAGGUACGGGCUCUGAGAGGAGUAGCCCGGAGAUGGGUACUGAGACACGGACCCAGGCCCUAUGGGGCGCAGCAGGCGAGAAAACUUUGCAAUGUGCGAAAGCACGACAAGGUUAAUCCGAGUGGUUUCUGCUAAAGGAACCUUUUGUUAGUCCUAGAAACACUAACGAAUAAGGGGUGGGCAAGUUCUGGUGUCAGCCGCCGCGGUAAAACCAGCACCUCAAGUGGUCAGGAUGAUUAUUGGGCCUAAAGCAUCCGUAGCCGGAUCUGUAAGUUUUCGGUUAAAUCUGUACGCUCAACGUACAGGCUGCCGGGAAUACUGCAGAUCUAGGGAGUGGGAGAGGUAGACGGUACUCGGGAGGAAGGGGUAAAAUCCUUUGAUCUCUCGAUGACCACCUGUGGCGAAGGCGGUCUACCAGAACACGUCCGACGGUGAGGGAUGAAAGCUGGGGGAGCAAACCGGAUUAGAUACCCGGGUAGUCCCAGCUGUAAACUAUGCAAACUCAGUGAUGCAUUGACUUGUGGUCAAUGCAGUGCUGCAGGGAAGCCGUUAAGUUUGCCGCCUGGGAAGUACGUACGCAAGUAUGAAACUUAAAGGAAUUGGCGGGGGAGCACCACAAGGGGUGAAGCCUGCGGUUCAAUUGG
This 857-nucleotide ribosomal RNA is filed under the name uncultured archaeon. RNAcentral describes it as "bacterial SSU rRNA". It matches the Rfam family "Archaeal small subunit ribosomal RNA", at positions 46 to 909 of the family's 1478-position model. The record is from RNAcentral.